This 495-nucleotide ribosomal RNA is filed under the name uncultured bacterium. RNAcentral describes it as "partial 16S ribosomal RNA". It matches the Rfam family "Bacterial small subunit ribosomal RNA", at positions 28 to 507 of the family's 1533-position model. The record is from RNAcentral.
GACGAACGCUGGCGGCGUGCCUAAUACAUGCAAGUAGAACGCUGAAGGAGGAGCUUGCUUCUCUGGAUGAGUUGCGAACGGGUGAGUAACGCGUAGGUAACCUGCCUGGUAGCGGGGGAUAACUAUUGGAAACGAUAGCUAAUACCGCAUAAGAGUAGAUGUUGCAUGACAUUUGCUUAAAAGGUGCAAUUGCAUCACUACCAGAUGGACCUGCGUUGUAUUAGCUAGUUGGUGGGGUAACGGCUCACCAAGGCGACGAUACAUAGCCGACCUGAGAGGGUGAUCGGCCACACUGGGACUGAGACACGGCCCAGACUCCUACGGGAGGCAGCAGUAGGGAAUCUUCGGCAAUGGACGGAAGUCUGACCGAGCAACGCCGCGUGAGUGCAGAAGGUUUUCGGAUCGUAAAGCUCUGUUGUAAGAGAAGAACGAGUGUGAGAGUGGAAAGUUCACACUGUGACGGUAUCUUACCAGAAAGGGACGGCUAACUACGUG